GACGAACGCUGGCGGUGUGCUUAACACAUGCAAGUCGAACGGAAAGGCCCUGCUUUCGUAGGGUGCUCGAGUGGCGAACGGGUGCGUAACACGUGAGUAACCUGCUCUUGACUUUGGUAUAACUUCACGUAACUGGGGCUAAUAUCGGAUAGGAGCUCCUGCUGCAUGGUGGGGGUUGGAAAGUUUCGGCGGGUGGGGAUGGACUCGCGGCUUACCAGCUUGUUGGUGGGGUAGUGGCUUACCAAGGCUUUGACGGGUAGCCGGCCUGAGAGGGUGACCGGCCACAUUGGGACUAAGGUACGGCCCAGUCUCGUACGGGGGGCAACAGUGGGGAGUAUUGCACAGUGAGCGGGAGCGUGAUGCAGCGGCGCCACGUGCGGAAUGACGGCCUUUGGGUUGUAAACCGCUUUCGCCUGUGACGAAGCGUGAGUGACGGUAAUGGGUAAAGAAGCACCGGCUAACUACGUG
This 468-nucleotide ribosomal RNA is filed under the name uncultured bacterium. RNAcentral describes it as "partial 16S ribosomal RNA". It matches the Rfam family "Bacterial small subunit ribosomal RNA", at positions 28 to 507 of the family's 1533-position model. The record is from RNAcentral.